RNAcentral lists this unclassified non-coding RNA (1615 nucleotides) under Leishmania donovani. RNAcentral's name for it is "gene:LdHU3.04.0090(CDS-product:DNA_topoisomerase_ type_IB_small_subunit_putative)". The record is from RNAcentral. Lineage: Eukaryota; Euglenozoa; Kinetoplastea; Trypanosomatida; Trypanosomatidae.
CUGUCCUCUCCAUCAUCGCUGCCUCGCCCCCUCCACCGCUGCUUGAUCACGUCACAGUGGCCUGAUUACCGUCGGCUAGGUAGAGUUUCCUUUCGCAAGCUCCUGUCUUUCUCAUCGCUCAGAGAGGACAACCACAACGUCACUUGUGUGCCUCUACCUCACUCCCUGGUACGUGAAAGGCAAUUCUGAGGGAUACAGUGUUGGUUCGCCAUGCAGCCUGUUCAAAGUCCUCCAGUAGCCCCGCCGUCGGUACCGGUCGCGGCGCCAAAGAAGACCCCGAUUGAUAUAUCUGCGCUGAAGCUCAAGAUGUCGCCCAGCGUUCGAGCAACCCUGGCUGCUGCUGGUGUGCUUGGCCAGUGCCCUCGGCCGAUUGAGGCAGCUGACGAGGAUGCGCUGCUUAAGCUGAAGCCGAUGAAGACAAUGGUGCCCUCCGUCAAGAAAGUUGUGGCGCCGGUUGCAACGACGGCUCCGCCGCCGAAGGUGCGCCGCGUCGAGAGCAGUUCCAGCUCAUCGUCCGAUAGCUCGUCCUCGUCCUCCGAUGACGACUCCAGCAGUGAUGACAGCUCCGGCUCGGACUCUUCGUCCUACUCCUCCGACGAUCGCUCCUCCUCGUCAGCUGAGUCAGUGGUGUCAGGGGAGGCAACGCUCUUCCACAUUGCCCAGUCUCAAGGCCUGGUGAACAAGGAGGUCCUGACACAGGAAGAGGAGGAAGUCCCCACGCUGGUGCCUCCGCGUCCUCCGGUGGUGCGAUCUUUCCCCAAUGACAUCGGCAAGGCUCUGGAACGCUACCGGGAACGACUCAACCGCGAGGAGAACAUCAUUCGCAUCAAGGAUGACAACAAGGCUGUGUCGCUCGGCACCAGUAAAAUCAACUACAUCGACCCCCGUAUCAUCUGCUCGUGGGCAAAGGCGCAAGACGUGCCGAUCAACAAGAUCUUCUCUGCAACCAUCCAGAAGAAGUUCCCGUGGGCCAUGAAUGCCGAGAACUUCGAUUUUUGAGCGAGGUCGGCGCGACUUGAUCUCCUUAGAACGAUGAUCUCGACGGCAGCGCUCCACGUGUACCUUUAAUUUACAUGCCGCCCCCCCCCCUGCCCUCGUUUGUACGCUGUGGCUUCUCAUUCCCCCCCCCCCCACACACACACACGCACGCACACACCAACUGUCUCCGCGUUGUCGUGCGCCCUUCUCACUCCGCGCUGGCUGCAGAAGUGCGGCAAACAAGAGGGAGCGAGCGUGUGCGGGGCUUGGGAAGGGAGCGGGGGUGUUGUCACCGUUUGUGGAGGUGAUCUAUAGUGUGCGUGUGGAACAGCGUAUAAGCAGCAAGCGGUAAGCUAAGAAGGAUCGCCAAUCCUUCUUGCUAGAGACGGUGGCGGAGGUUGGAGAGGAAAAUGAGACAGCGCACCAUGCGCCAUGGUGUGGGCACGAGUUCUUUGGAGGGCGCUCAAUGUGUUCCUAGGAGAGCGUCUGCUUUACCGUGUUUCUCUCGCACAACCUCCACUCGAGUCCUCCUCCUCGUUCGCCUUUGCUCUCGUUCUGACAAGUGCGCGGAUGGCGUCAGCGGCUUCGCCGCAGCACACGUUAAGAUGACGAGGAAGUCGCACGUCGGCGAAACUGG